Molecule: non-coding RNA, 84 nt
Organism: Paramuricea clavata
Lineage: Eukaryota; Metazoa; Cnidaria; Anthozoa; Malacalcyonacea; Plexauridae
Source: the annotation of a GenBank genome assembly
AAACAUAUAAUAGUUUUGUUUGUGGAAACACCACAUAAAUUUAAAUUUAUGUGGUGUUUCCACAAACAAAACUAUUAUAUGUUG